AAUUUUACAAUGUCUAAGAUGACUAAUUAUUGAUUGGACAUAGAAUAAUUCUGAACUCAACAUGGAUAUAUGUAGGUUUCCUUGUUCAAUUUGUUAUUUGUGCCCCUUAGGAGAUCUGUAACAUAUUUAAAUGAAGAUCUUAUGCAUGCAAGAUGCAAAGGUGAUUCACAUACUUAAACAAGCGAUUCAUACCACUUUGUGAGGUGAAAAAAGAUCUCUAGGAUGAUGUGAACGUCAAUUAGGUGUUUGAACAUUGUAAGCAUUUUUUUGGAUGUGAUGUGCCUAAGAAUUCCUUGGUUAGUUUGUGGUGAUUAUUCUCCGAUGGAUACAUACAACUUCUGUUCCUUGUUAGUUUAUGGUAUUAGUUUGUCAUGAACAUUGAAAUUGUCAUUAACUAAAAUACAAUAAAUGUAUACUCUAUGAUGACAUGAAACAUGAUCUUUGACUAUUUAUUUUUAAAAAUUGUGACUUAUUGGAUGUUUCAGUGUGAAGCCUUUAAAUGAUAAAUUAAGAGGCCCUUAAUAGUACCGCACUUCCAAAAUGAUCUUAUUCAUUUUUUUGGCUUGUCAUGUGCGUGAGAGAUUCCCUUUUCUCUUUUGGGCCUUUUACCCCAAUUACCUUUGGGACAAAAUUGUCAAAACCAUUGUGUGAAGCUACUGAAACUGAAACUAAUGCUUGGUUGAAAUCAAGUGUUUGAACUAACCAAAUGAGGCUCCACUUUCAGUGAAAGAUAAUUAAGCAAGGAAUAAGUAAAAAUAUAAUUGGUGAUGUUACAACUCUCUUUGGCCAGGAAUUAAGCAUUUCUCUAGGUGAUGGAGUGAGUCCUUGAAAUCUAGUUUUCAAACCCACCAAAGAAAAGCUAAUCUAAUACAUGAUAAUUAAAUUAGAGAAGGAACAAAUGUUCUUUUUGAAGUUAAAUAAAAAGAAAAGCAAAAGCAGAAGAUAGGUGGAUAUGGCUGCUCUUUGGAAAUAAAACAAAGCAUCACACUAGGUUCUUAAAUAAGGUCUUGAUGAGCAAUGCUACCAUGAUGGUUGAAGCGGACAGACAGGUCUAUUGAAUUGCACUAUUAAAAUAGGAGGAAACUUUUUUGGAUAGAAGAAUCUUCAUUUAAUAAUUCAAGCCAACCUUUACAGUGUAUGGCUUUGAAUUUAUUGGUAUAUUGGAGGUUUUAAUUGUUAAAGCAAUUUAAAUAACCAUAACCAUUGCUACAAUCAUUGAGCCUUGUUCCAUCUUCUAGAGGUCAGUUCUGACUUCUGAGAGAAGAAUAUGAAUAUGGUACUGAGAGAAGUAAUUUGAUCUGCAAUAGAGAAAAGGAUAUAUGCAUAAUCAGCAUGCUAUAAUUGCUGACAUGUAUGCUGAGACGAUAAGAAAUAUCAGUAGUAGUUGUUGUGAGGCAUGUGUAGUUUCAAGAAUGUUGGGUUUACAGUAAGCUUCAGUGCUGAACCUACGUCUCUAGAUACCAGUUACAAGGGAACAUACUGCUAAUGUUUAGGAAGAUUAGCUGUGGUGAAUGAUAUUUGCAGACUACGACAGGGUUUACUGAUCAGAAGAGAACAAUAUUAAUUGAUACUUGCUAGAGUUAUGCUAGAUAACUUUUUAACGUAAAGACCUAAAAGUUAGUACAGAAAAAACAAAAUAUGGGGAAUGUAAUUUUUGAUGGGAACAUAAAUGAAGCUGAGGCUUCAGACAAAAUUAUUGCCCAAGAGAUACCCCAGUAUGGUCAGUUUCAUUAUCUUUAAUUUAUUUAUUCUAAAGAAUGGAGAGAUGGAGAAAUCAAAUAAAACUAGAGUUGGUUGGAUGAAGUUCUGAGAGGCUUCCUGGGGCAAUAUCUAGUUGACACACUUCUUAGUGACAUGACAAAAAGUCUUAAAACCAAAACUCAAGUCUUCAAAUGUUUUAUGGUUCAUAAGCAUCUGCAGCAAAGAGGGUUUGAGUAAGCAAGAUAAUUAUGAUAAAAGUGUUUUCAUUGAGAUGGAUAUAUGAUGAAACAAGGAUAGAAUAAGCAAUGUGUGCAUAAGAGGAAAUGUAGGAGUUGCACCGAAAAGAAAUGUAUAAAUAAUGGAGAACUGAUUGAGCAAAUAGUAUGCAUGUGCAACCAUGGUCUUAGGAGUCUAGUAAGAAAAGUGCUUGAAUACUUGUCCAAGGAUAUCUACAAAGAAGACGAGACGACCUUGUCUUGCAUGGAUGACAGUUGUGAGAAGGAUUAUAGCUCAUAAACAUUGGAGGUGGCCUCGUAGGAACAACUGGAAGAUGAUGACUCGUAAAGCUAAAAAUGAAUAUUUGGGAAGAGAUUUGAUUGUAAUUGUUAUUUUUUUUUCUUUAAGAUGAUCAAUUACAUGGAUUGUCAAUUUAUAUGGCACUCCAUGCAGUUACUGCCUAACUUGAUUCAUAGAAUAGUCCUAUACUUCUUAUAUUUUGAAGCCCAAAUGGAUGAAUAUGGCUGGAAUCUCACAGGCUUAUUCUACAACAAAAUGAUUUCUUAGUGGCUUGUAUAAAUAUUAGCAAAACAAGAAUUUAUCUGUAGAUGUUAGAAGUUUUUUUACAAUUAAAUGCCAGGAAACACUAUUCUUUGCUGUCGAUUUGGAAUAAAAAGAAAAAAAAAUUAAAGGAGAGAAGGACAAGUUUUUCUUACAUUAUUGAGUAGGCAUCUAAUGAUAAAGCAAGGAAGCUUUUGUGAAAUUGUAUUCAUUUAUUAAAGUUGUCUUGACUGAUGAUUAAAGUGCUCUGAUGUAUUACUUCGUGUAUGCAAGAUGUAUCAUACGAUGGGUUUUUGAUAUGAUAUGGAGAAAGUACCUAUUUGCCAUCUAUGAUGUCUUAUGUCAUACCAAUUUAUAGCACAUUUGCAGUACAAGAUUGUAUGCAUUUCAGUUUUAAAAUCUGUGCUAACAGCUUUGUUCUUGUUCAAAAUAGUUUUGAACUCUUCCCAUUGAACUUAUUUUCAAAAACCAAUCGAGGUUCUAAACUAUCAACCCAACAUGGCAAUAACAAACUUGUUAGUCUACAUUAGACCAAUGGUUCGAAAUUGAGACAACUUAUAAUUUAUAAGUUUCCAACAAUACUUUGUGUACGUGAUCUUCCCAUGAUACUUCUAAUGCACGAAAUGCUACAAUGUGUUUGUUAAUCUGCCAACACAAUCAUGCAACAUGAUUUAGCGUAUGGUACCAUACCGUACCGAACUAGAUGGUAAAGAGCAUACUGUACCAUACCGAUUUAGUACAGGUACAUGGUACAUGAGGUAAACCGAUACUCGGUACAUUGAACCAGCCUCCAUACCAGACUUACCGAUAUAGUGGCGGGGUGACACCGGUACGAGGCCUGGUACCAAGAUGGCGUAUCUUGAUUUAGUGUGAUAAAUUACUUGGCACUGUGGAACACAUGUUAAACAUUAUUUAGUGUGAUAAAUUACUUUUGAAUAAUUUAUGAUCUUAUUUUCCUAAAAAUAAGCAAAAACUUAUUUUUGUUUGCAUUUUAUUUUUUUAAAAAAAUCAUAUAUCAUAGCUUCCCAGUCUUGAAUCUUUUUAUAGACUGGUGCUUCUUUUCAUGCCAAUGCAUUCCAGUUAUCAGCUCUGUGCUACAUGGUGCGUGUACUGUAUUAAAGGCAUAAUUCACUCCAGUUUGGUCAUUAGUCUUACCGAUUAAAGCGCAUAAAUACUUUGACCGCACACACCGAAGUUUUCUUAUCAGAUCAUUGAUAGGUGAGUUUUGUAAGAAAACUUGGUAAGAAUGUUAUGGUACCCUCUGACCAUUGAAGAGGAACUUACGCCUCCUCUAGUAGAGCGACAUAUUGGGAAACUUGUUUUUUUCUCAGCAUUUGUGCGCUUUCAAUAGGUAUUCUUAGUCAGCACUUGGUUUACCUCCUAAUUUCAAACAGUUUAGCACUUGGUUUCUCGUUACUUGAUGAAUGCUUAUUUUACAAAACCUAGCUGUUGCUGUACCAUGGAAUAACUCUGCUCGGUGGUGUUGGACUUCUUAAUGGGUAUUCUCAUUCUUCAUAUUUCUAAUGCCUUAAAUGCACACCAAAAUCAACUAUUAACGGACGUGGAACUCCAAGCUUUCCGCAGCCAGUGUGUCUCCUUUGCAUUCCUCGUGCCUGUCACUAUUAUGUGAAAAACAACAGUUUUCUUAUCAUAAACUCCCCGACAUAACCAUUUUUUCUUAAUAAAAUCUUUUAUGGAAAGUCUUUUUUCCCUUCUUAAGUUUUGCAUUUCUCUUCCCAACUAAUAAAGUGGAACUCUUUUUGGUUAUUUUUCUAUUUUAAUGUUUGUAGUGUUUCCGCAAAACCUUGUUAUGCUUAAAAUUUAUCAAUUUUGAUUAUGCUCAAUCUUGCCUUAACUUGAGUUUUGCCUAUAAAAAUACAAAAUGCAAUUAUUCUGUUUGGUUUUCAAAGAACAAAUUAUUUAAAGAUCUAAGUGAUGGUCUGAAGAGAGUCGUGAGGAUCGAAAUUUUUUUUUACUCAAUAUUAUUUUUCAUUUUUCUCUUCUGUGCCUUUAUGGGUGCAUGCUUUAGCUUGUAUGCAUAACAGAUGUCAUAGAUGUGAUGCUACAAGCUGCAAAAGAAGUCAUAAAAGGACAAGUAGGAGGGCAAUUAUUAAGUUAUUUUUCCAUCUUUGGUGCUCGUUAAGCGAGGAGGAAGAAAGACAAGAAGGUUUUAUAGUAUUUGGAGUCCAAGAAUAACUGAAAAAAGAAACUAGAGGGCUACAAUGGGAGCACCCAAUGCAUUCUAAACACGAGCAUGCACUGUUUCAGGGGAAGAGCACUUUAAAAAGAAAGUGUGUGUUUGUGUCAGAACUUUUUUUGUUGUGUUAUAAAGAAUGUAUCUGUGUCUUUGACAAAGUUGUAAUAUUGAUCAUUUAGGUGCAUCUUGUAUAAUCUGAUGGAGGAACUAUUUGGUUCAUUUCCAAAUCUUGGAGUUCCCAAUGUACAAUGAGAACUAUUAGAAAACAUAAUGAUAACUUUGGGAAUCUAAAUGUAAUUCAGCAUCAUAAAUAGUUUCUGAAAGUUGCAGUCAUCUUUUCCCAUAAUUUUAAUGGCUGGUAUAUAUCCACUUUGAUGGAGGGAAAGGAAGUUAAAUCUGUGUAUUGUGGAGUAGUCUUGGGACGCCUUUUGCAUCUGGUUGAGACCUCUACAAAUUGAGAAAUUGGUUUUGCACAACGUGUUUAUUGAGAUCAAGAAACCAUUAGCUAGAACUUUGCCAACUUCAAAUUUGAGAGCAUUGAGCUUAUGGAUUUCAAAUAAGUAGUUUGAUGCUUGUUGAAAACCUAUAUGCUUUAGGUGUUCCCUUAGAACAUGGUAUUUCUAAACCAAUUUAUUAUUCCAUUCAACUUCUGAGCAUUUGCAACUAGCUGGAAGUUGGGUAAUGCACUUGGGUGGAUAAAUUAGUAUUUAACGCCAUCUUGAAACUGAACAUACAAUCAUAUACCUUGAUUUGCUAAGAAGGCAUAACGUAUCUUUGAAGCUGAUUAUUUCAUAUCUCAGUUUCAUAAUUUUUGUCUUGUUUUCUGCUUCUUUGUGGAAUAGCUGUUAUAUUCAUAUUCUUUAUUUCCCCCUUAAUCCUUUGUUGAUUAACAUUAAACUAUAUGA
Non-coding RNA from Phoenix dactylifera (date palm), 5580 nucleotides. The record is from RefSeq and is a predicted model, not a curated record. NCBI's taxonomy places the organism in Eukaryota, Viridiplantae, Streptophyta, Magnoliopsida, Arecales, Arecaceae.